UCAGUUCGGAUUGCAGGCUGCAACUCGCCUGUAUGAAGUCGGAAUUGCUAGUAAUCGUGGAUCAGCAUGCCACGGUGAAUACGUUCCCGGGCCUUGUACACACCGCCCGUCACACCAUGAGAGCCGGGAACACCCGAAGUCCGUAGUCUAACCUAUAUGGAGGACGCGGCCGAAGGUGGGUUUGGUAAUUGGGGUGAAGUCGUAACAAGGUAAC
RNAcentral lists this ribosomal RNA (214 nucleotides) under uncultured bacterium. RNAcentral describes it as "partial 16S ribosomal RNA". It matches the Rfam family "Bacterial small subunit ribosomal RNA", at positions 1288 to 1500 of the family's 1533-position model. The record is from RNAcentral.